Molecule: ribosomal RNA, 466 nt
Filed under: uncultured bacterium
Lineage: Bacteria
Description: partial 16S ribosomal RNA
Rfam family: Bacterial small subunit ribosomal RNA
Source: RNAcentral
GACGAACGCUGGCGGCGCGCCUAACACAUGCAAGUCGAACGAGCGAGCGAGAGCUUGCUUUCUCGAGCGAGUGGCGAACGGGUGAGUAACGCGUGAGGAACCUGCCUCAAAGAGGGGGACAACAGUUGGAAACGACUGCUAAUACCGCAUAAGCCCACGACCCGGCAUCGGGUAGAGGGAAAAGGAGCAAUCCGCUUUGAGAUGGCCUCGCGUCCGAUUAGCUAGUUGGUGAGGUAACGGCCCACCAAGGCGACGAUCGGUAGCCGGACUGAGAGGUUGAACGGCCACAUUGGGACUGAGACACGGCCCAGACUCCUACGGGAGGAAGCAGUGGGGAAUAUUGCACAAUGGGGGAAACCCUGAUGCAGCGACGCCGCGUGGAGGAAGAAGGUCUUCGGAUUGUAAACUCCUGUUGUUGAGGAAGAUAAUGACGGUACUCAACAAGGAAGUGACGGCUAACUACGUG